AUUGAACGCUGGCGGCGUGCCUAACACAUGCAAGUCGGAUGUGCCGCAAGGUGCAUGGCAGACGGGUGAGUAACGCGUAGGGAAUCUACCUUUUUGUGGGGAAUAACGCUCCGAAAGGAGUGGUAAUACCGCAUGAGACCGUGACCUGGGAUGGUUACGGUGAAACCUGGGGACCGCAAGGCCUGGGGCAAAAAGAGGAUCCUGCGUCUGAUUAGCUAGUUGGCGGGGUAAUGGCCCACCAAGGCGACGAUCAGUAGCCGGCCUGAGAGGGUGAUCGGCCACACUGGAACUGAGACACGGUCCAGACUCCUACGGGAGGCAGCAGUGGGGAAUUUUGCGCAAUGGACGAAAGUCUGACGCAGCAACGCCGCGUGGGUGAUGAAGGUCUUCGGACUGUAAAACCCUGUCGUCAGGGACGAAGGUGGCAGUGUUAAUAGCGCUGUUACUUGACGGUACCUGGAGAGGAAGCCCCGGGCUAACCUCUGUGCCAGCAGCCGCGGUAAU
This 504-nucleotide ribosomal RNA is filed under the name uncultured bacterium. RNAcentral describes it as "bacterial SSU rRNA". It matches the Rfam family "Bacterial small subunit ribosomal RNA", at positions 29 to 524 of the family's 1533-position model. The record is from RNAcentral.